Molecule: ribosomal RNA, 383 nt
Filed under: uncultured eukaryote
Lineage: Eukaryota
Description: partial 18S ribosomal RNA
Rfam family: Eukaryotic small subunit ribosomal RNA
Source: RNAcentral
CAAUAGCGUAUAUUAAAGUUGUUGCAGUUAAAAAGCUCGUAGUUGGAUUUCUGGUAGGAGCGACCGUGCCGAACUUGAUUGUUCGAGUAUUGUGUUGUCUUCAGCCAUCCUCGUGGAGAACUUUUCUAACAUUAACUUGUUGGGAUUGGGACCCGCGUCGUUUACUGUGAGAAAAUUAGAGUGUUUAAAGCAGGCAUUAGCUUGAAUACAUUAGCAUGGAAUAAUAAGAUAGGACUUUGGUACUAUUUUGUUGGUUUGCAUACCAAAUUAAUGAUCAACAGGAACAGUUUGAGGAUAUUCGUAUGAACAUGUCAGAGGUGAAAUUCUUGGAUUUUGAUCAGACGAACUACUGCGAAAGCAUUUAUCAAGGAUGUUUUCAUUAA